Molecule: microRNA precursor, 91 nt
Filed under: Canis lupus familiaris (dog)
Lineage: Eukaryota; Metazoa; Chordata; Mammalia; Carnivora; Canidae
Also listed under: 1 other name
Description: mir-8799 microRNA precursor family
Rfam family: mir-8799 microRNA precursor family
Source: Rfam by way of RNAcentral
AUGGGGAGGCCGGAUUCUGGGCUGUGUCCCUGGCGCCCUGUGCUCCUGGGCCUGCACUGUUGGAUUCGUGCUCCCAGCCGUGCAGCCUCCU